UGCAUUCACUACUGUAAGUCGCUCUGGAUAAGAGCGUCUGCUAAGAUGUAAAUAU
Salmo salar (Atlantic salmon) is the source of this 55-nucleotide non-coding RNA. Lineage: Eukaryota; Metazoa; Chordata; Actinopteri; Salmoniformes; Salmonidae. The record is from Rfam.